CACACUGCUAUGUGAAAUCUGUUUCACAAGUAAAGUAUCUGUGAAGUCACAGUAUUUGUUUACAGGAAUUUCUCUGAGAAAUACAGGAAUAGUAGACGAGAUACAAAAGAAGUAAGGCUGUGAUUCUGAAUGAAGUCAGUGUCUUCUGGAUGACGGUAUAUGUUUCUUGAAAGAUAAGAAAUUUCCCAGGGCUGUAUCUAGAUAUUUCUGAGUUCCUGUUACAAGACCGUCUGCCAGUUUCCCAUAGGAUUUUUGCAAGAGACUGUAUGGAACUGGCAAGGCACAAAUGAUUUACUUCUUUCUCCGGUCCUUCAAGCCAAUAGAUGAUUUGUAAGGACUAACAGAAGCUACAGAGGAGAAAGCCAAACAAUUUUAUUUGAUUCAGUAAUUAACCUGGGAGGCUAGAAGUAUUUGCAAGAAGCCUAAACUCCAAAGAAUAACAAGAACAAUGAAAAAACAUUAAAUCUUAAUAUUUGAAUGUAGCUUCAAAGUCUUGGAUCUGCCAUGCAUACAUAGAACAGCAUACAGUACCUUCAAACACUAUUCAAUUUCAAUAAAUGGAAGAAAUCUGUAUUUGCAGUAGUUCAAUUUGCAAUACACUGGGGAUCCUUGACACAUUCAGUAAUGUUUGGGGAGAUGCCUAAAAGACAGCUUAUUCGCCAAAGUUCUUCUUAUUCUGCUAUUCUCCAUAACAAGGAAACCAGGGAAGCAAACCAGGUCAUGUUCUGAAUUCACUAUUCAACAAUCAGCUGAUGUGGCAAUGCAUGUGCACAUCUAACUGCUGUGUCAUGACAAAUUCCCUAUGCCAAGACAAGGAGACGUCAAGGAUGCACCAAUUCCUCUAAGAUACUUGGUUUUUUGCAAAGCAACUUUAAACGGCAAAACCUAAAUUUUGAUAGAAUUUAAAUGAAUAAUUUGGCUGUCAGUCUUUACAGAAGAGUGGCAGAGUAGGCCAGUCAAAGAAGAGAAAGCAAACUUUGGAACAUAUGCUUCAUCUACUGUGACUCAAUCAGGAUGACAAAGGUUAUUAAAACUAUUGUUGUUAUUCAACAAACUGA
Molecule: non-coding RNA, 1058 nt
Organism: Pantherophis guttatus
Lineage: Eukaryota; Metazoa; Chordata; Lepidosauria; Squamata; Colubridae
Source: RefSeq, a predicted model, not a curated record